AUCACUUCUCAGCCUUUUGGCUAAGAUCAAGUGUAGUAUCUGUUCUCAUCACUUUAGUAUUACUACAUCCUCU
Molecule: small nuclear RNA, 73 nt
Filed under: Canis lupus familiaris (dog)
Lineage: Eukaryota; Metazoa; Chordata; Mammalia; Carnivora; Canidae
Description: U2 spliceosomal RNA (ENSCAFG00000027798.3, ENSCAFG00040007085.1, ENSCAFG00845016899.1)
Rfam family: U2 spliceosomal RNA
About the family: U2 is a small nuclear RNA (snRNA) component of the spliceosome (involved in pre-mRNA splicing). Complementary binding between U2 snRNA (in an area lying towards the 5' end but 3' to hairpin I) and the branchpoint sequence (BPS) of the intron results the bulging out of an unpaired adenosine, on the BPS, which initiates a nucleophilic attack at the intronic 5' splice site, thus starting the first of two transesterification reactions that mediate splicing.
Source: Rfam by way of RNAcentral